AUACGUAGGGUGCAAGCGUUAAUCGGAAUUACUGGGCGUAAAGCGUGCGCAGGCGGUUUUGUAAGACAGUGGUGAAAUCCCCGGGCUCAACCUGGGAACUGCCAUUGUGACUGCAAGGCUGGAGUGCGGCAGAGGGGGAUGGAAUUCAGCGUGUAGCAGUGGAAUGCGUAGAUAUGCGGAGGAACACCGAUGGCGAAGGCAAUCCCCUGGGCCUGCACUGACGCUCAUGCACGAAAGCGUGGGGAGCAAACAGGAUUAGAUACCCUGGUAGUCCACGCCCUAAACGAUGUCAACUGGUUGUUGGGGAUUUAUUUUCUCAGUAACGAAGCUAACGCGUGAAGUUGACCGCCUGGGGAGUACGGCCGAAAGGUUAAAACUCAAAGGAAUUGACGGG
Molecule: ribosomal RNA, 394 nt
Filed under: uncultured bacterium
Lineage: Bacteria
Description: partial 16S ribosomal RNA
Rfam family: Bacterial small subunit ribosomal RNA
Source: RNAcentral